ACCUGGCUAGCUUAGUCGGUAGAGCAUGCAACUCUUGAUCUUAGGGUUGUGAGUUUGAACCCCACGUUGGGCA
This 73-nucleotide transfer RNA is filed under the name Ailuropoda melanoleuca (giant panda). It matches the Rfam family "tRNA". From Rfam's summary of the family: Transfer RNA (tRNA) molecules are approximately 80 nucleotides in length. Their secondary structure includes four short double-helical elements and three loops (D, anti-codon, and T loops). The record is from Rfam by way of RNAcentral. Lineage: Eukaryota; Metazoa; Chordata; Mammalia; Carnivora; Ursidae.